Molecule: ribosomal RNA, 210 nt
Filed under: uncultured prokaryote
Description: partial 16S ribosomal RNA
Rfam family: Bacterial small subunit ribosomal RNA
Source: RNAcentral
ACGGAGGGUGCGAGCGUUGUCCGGAAUCACUGGGCGUAAAGGGCGCGUAGGCGGCUUUUUAAGGGUGCGGUGAAAGCCCGGGGCUUAACCCCGGGUCGGCCGUGCCGACUGAAAAGCUGGAGCACUGUAGAGGCAGGUGGAAUUCCGGGUGUAGCGGUGGAAUGCGUAGAGAUCCGGAAGAACACCAGUGGCGAAGGCGGCCUGCUGGGC